AUACGGAGGGUGCGAGCGUUAAUGGGAAUUACUGGGCGUAAAGCGUGCGUAGGCGGUUUGCUAAGUCAGAUGUGAAAGCCCCGGGCUUAACCUGGGAACUGCAUUUGAUACUGGCAGACUAGAGUAUGAUAGAGGGGGGUAGAAUUCCUGGUGUAGCGGUGGAAUGCGUAGAUAUCAGGAGGAAUACCAGUGGCGAAGGCGGCCCCCUGGAUCAAUACUGACGCUGAGGUACGAAAGCGUGGGGAGCGAACAGGAUUAGAAACCCUAGUAGUCC
RNAcentral lists this ribosomal RNA (274 nucleotides) under uncultured bacterium. RNAcentral describes it as "partial 16S ribosomal RNA". It matches the Rfam family "Bacterial small subunit ribosomal RNA", at positions 523 to 796 of the family's 1533-position model. The record is from RNAcentral.